Long non-coding RNA from Bos grunniens (domestic yak), 1843 nucleotides. NCBI's taxonomy places the organism in Eukaryota, Metazoa, Chordata, Mammalia, Artiodactyla, Bovidae. The record is from Ensembl.
AGGGCCUUAGUGGCCGUUUUGCCCCGACACGGUGCUCCUACCACCUAGACCUCUUGAGCCUCGCAGAGGACGCUGGGAGUCUAGCCCUGGGGGCACCACAGCCUCAUGGGAGCGGUAGUUUUUAUACCGAAGCUCACGAGUGGCUCCUCCCUCCACGCUCAGCCUUCCUUCACUUUAUGGUCUGGCUCACUUUUUGCUUUGAGUCAGACGCACAGAAAGUAAUACAAAACCUUCUAAGAGACUGGAAAUUACAGAGUUGAUGACAGGAGAAACCGAUUCUCUCUGAAGAUGAAAUAUUGACUCCCUAAUUAGCUCAGGCUCUGGCCCAGAGGACUGUGCAUGGCUGUAUUUAACUGCCUGGAAAGUGGCUCUGAAAAGAUGCUGGCUCAGCAAGAGGAGUUUUGCUCUGCUACCUCACAAAGCAAGUCUAUGCCAUCAAGAAAUAAACAUAAAUUUUUUUGUUUUAUUGCUUUAUUUUAUUGUGAUGAUUAUAAGGCUUAUAAUUUUAAGAUUUUAAAUAAAUUUUCUGUAUGAAUAGCAUUACAAUAAAGUUCACUUCUACUGUCACAUACUUUUGACCUAAGUAAGUGUUAGUCGCUCAGUCAUGCCCAACUCUUUGUGACCCCAUGGACUACAGCCCACCAGGCUCCUCUGUCCAUGAGAUUUUCCAGGCAAGGAUACUGGAGUGGGCUGCCAUUUCCUUCUCCAGGGGAUGUUCCCAACCCAGGGAUCGAACCCGGGUCUCCUGCACUGCAGGCAGAUUCUUUACCAACUGAGCUACAAGGGAAGCCCUAGUUUUGGCCUAGAUAGUGUCAUUUUAAUGCUAAUAAUAAUAAUUUAAAAUUAUUUAUUAAAAUAAAGAAAUUUUGAAAUAGUUUCAGUUACCAGUUGCACAUAGUUCUUCCUCAGUAUCCAUGGAGGAUUGGUUCCAGGAUACCCUAUGGGCUUCCUUGGUGGCUCAGACAGUAAAGCGUCUGUCUGCAAUGCAGGAGACCUGGGUUUGAUCCCUUGGUUGGGAAGAUCCCCUGGAGAAGGAAAUGGCAGCCCACUCCAAUAUUCUUGCCUGGAAAAUCCCAUGGAAGGCGGAGCCUGGUAGGCUACUGUCCAUGGGGUCGCAAAGAGUCGGACACGACUGAGCUUCUUCACUUCACUUCAAGUUCUUUGUAUAAAAUGGUGUAUUGUUUGUAUAUAACUUACAAACAUCCUCCCAUGUUCUUUAAAUUAUCUGUAGAUUACUUAUAAUACCUGAUGUCAUGUAAAUGCUAUGUCAGUACUUGCCAUUGUCUGGCAAAUUUAAGUUUUGCUCUGCUACCUCACAAAGCAAGUCUAUGCCAUCAAGAAAUAAACAUAAAUUUUUUGUUUUAUUGCUUUAUUUUAUUGUGAUGAUUAUAAGGCUUAUAAUUUUAAGAUUUUAAAUAAAUUUUCUGUAUGAAUAGCAUUACAAUAAAGUUCACUUCUACUGUCACAUACUUUUGACCUAAGUAAGUGUUAGUCGCUCAGUCAUGCCCAACUCUUUGUGACCCCAUGGACUACAGCCCACCAGGCUCCUCUGUCCAUGAGAUUUUCCAGGCAAGGAUACUGGAGUGGGCUGCCAUUUCCUUCUCCAGGGGAUGUUCCCAACCCAGGGAUCGAACCCGGGUCUCCUGCACUGCAGGCAGAUUCUUUACCAACUGAGCUACAAGGGAAGCCCUAGUUUUGGCCUAGAUAGUGUCAUUUUAAUGCUAAUAAUAAUAAUUUAAAAUUAUUUAUUAAAAUAAAGAAAUUUUGAAAUAGUUUCAGUUACCAGUUGCACAUAGUUCUUCCUCAGUAUCCAUGGAGGAUUGGUUCCAGGAUACCCUAUGGG